CGCAGAGUGACGGCCCUUCGGGGCCGGUAAUGCGGCGAGCCGGUCACAAGCCCGG
This 55-nucleotide non-coding RNA is filed under the name unclassified sequences. The record is from RNAcentral.